This 2205-nucleotide ribosomal RNA is filed under the name Triticum aestivum (bread wheat). RNAcentral describes it as "partial small subunit ribosomal RNA". The record is from RNAcentral. Lineage: Eukaryota; Viridiplantae; Streptophyta; Magnoliopsida; Poales; Poaceae.
AUGGCGACGAAGCCUUCGCAGGACGCGCCGCUCCCGCUCCACACCGUGCAAACGGACCAGCCCCUCGCCACCGUCAACCGGCUCCUCGCCGCCGUCCACCUGGCGCUCGGCGCGGCAGCCAUCGCCCACCGCGGCGCCCACGUGAUGCUGGCGGCCGACCUGGUCCUCCUCUUCCUGUGGGCGCUGUCGCAGGCGCCCAUGUGGCGCCCCGUGUCCCGCACCGCCUUCCCGUCCCGGCUCUCGCGCGCCGCCCUCCCGGCCGUGGACGUGAUGGUGGUGACGGCCGACCCGGAGAAGGAGCCCGCGGCGAAGGUGAUGAACACGGUGGUCUCCGCCAUGGCGCUCGACUACCCGGGCGGGCGGCUGAGCGUGUACCUCUCCGACGACGCCGGGUCACCGCGGACGCUGCUCGCCGCCAGGAAGGCCUACGCCUUCGCCAGGGCCUGGGUGCCCUUCUGCAGGAAGUACGGCGUGCGGUGCCCGUGCCCCGACAGGUUCUUCGCCGGCGAUGACAAGCUCGACCUCGGUAGUCACCACCACCACGAGCUCGCCGACGACAGGCUAAGAAUCAAGAAUAUGUACGAGACGUUCAAUGAGGGUGUCCGGGAGGUGAUGAGCGACGCAGAUCUUUCUCAGAGUUGCACAAAAGCAGAUCACGAUGCUCACGUCGAGAUCAUCACCGGCGAUGAGCAAGACAGCAGCAACAGCAACUCCGGCGACGGCGAGGAGGAUGAGGACGCCAUGCCCUUGCUGGUCUACGUGUCUCGCGAGAAGCGGAGGUCGUCGACUCACCACUUCAAAGCCGGCGCACUCAACGUCCUUCUCCGUGUGUCGAGCCUGUUGAGCAACUCGCCGUACGUGAUGGUGCUGGACUGCGACAUGUACUGCAACAGCCGGAGCUCCAUCCUCGAGGCCAUGUGCUUCCACCUCGACGGCCGCCGCCGCGCCGAUCUCGCCUUCGUGCAGUUCCCUCAGAUGUUCCACAACCUCAGCAGCAGCGACAUCUACGCCAACGAGCUCAGAUCCAUCUUCUGGACGCGGUGGAAAGGCUUGGAUGGCCUCCGGGGCCCGAUCCUCUCCGGCACCGGCUUCUGCGCCAGGAGAGACGCCAUCUACGGCGCCCGGCCGGCCAGCUCGCAAGAUCAGUUCUCCGGUGUGGAGGUCGGCGAGCUUAAGAGAAGGUUUGGCGUCUCGAAUGGUCACAUAGCGUCGCUGCGCCGAUCCGGGACCGGGAGCACCAUUGUUGCACGUGAUGCUCUCCCACAGGAGGAUGCAGAGUUGGUGGCGUCCUGCGCUUACGAGACGGGCACCGAAUGGGGCGAGCAGGUCGGCUUCUUGUACCAGUCGGUGGUGGAGGACUACUUCACGGGCUACCGGCAGCUCUACUGCCGAGGGUGGACGUCCGUCUACUGCUUCCCGGCGGCGGCGUCGAGGCCGCCGUUCCUCGGCAGCGUGCCCACCAACCUCAACGACGCGCUGGUGCAGAACAAGCGGUGGAUGUCCGGCAUGCUCGCCGUCGGCCUGUCCAGGCACUGCCCCCUCGCCUCCGCCGCCAUCUGCGUGCCUCAGAGCAUGGGCUUCGCCUACUACGCCUUCAUGGCCCUGUACGCCUUCCCCGUGCUCUGCUACGCCACCGUGCCGCAGCUCUGCUUCCUCCGCGGCGGCACGUCGUUCCCAGGGGCGGCUUCGACGCUCUGGUUCGCCGCCGUGUUCGCGUCGUCGUCGCUGCAGCACCUGGUGGAGGUGUCGGUGGCCAAGCGUGGGCUGGCGUUGAGGACGUGGUGGAACGAGCAGAGGUUCUGGGCGCUCAACGCCGUCACGGGCCAGCUCUUCGCCUGCCUCGGCGUCGCCCUCAACCUGGUCGGCGCCGGCGGCCGGGCGGUGGACUUCGACCUCACCAGCAAGGCGUCCGACGACAGGCUCUACCGGGAUGGCGUGUUCGACUUCGCCGGAUGCACCACGCUGCUCCUGCCGGCCACCACGCUCUGCCUGCUCAACGCCGCGGCGCUCGUCGGCGGGGUCUGGAAGAUGGUCGGCAGGGGCGGCAGCGUGUCCGGCGAGCUGUUCCUCCUCUGCUACGUCGCGGCGCUGAGCUAUCCGCUGCUGCAAGGGAUGUUCCUCAGGCGGGAUCCCGCAAGAGUUCCUGCGCCGAUCACGGCGAUGUCCGUCGCCAUGGUUGCCGCUCUGCUGUCCUUGUUUGGUUAA